UGGUUUGAGUUGCCUGGGGCGGAUUAGGAUGAGGCAGUCUUGGAAGAUUGAAGCGGAGUUGCCAAAGAUGAAGUCCACGUUGCCUUGGAUGUUGCAUGAUUUGUAGAACUGGCGAAGGGAGUGAGCGUAGAGAGUGUCUUGAUUGCCUAAGAAUUCACAGUUCUCAAUCACUGAUAAAUCGCUACCUGAUCUGAAAGCUACAGCUUGGUGGGCAUCAGGACCGGCUGUGUUUUGGAAUGUGAGACCACUGGCCAUGAACCCAUCACCACUCACACCUGUGCCAUGAUCAAACACCAUUCGAUUGAUCAAUAGGACCAACAACGCCUUAGGAGUUAGGAGCAAGGAAACAAAGAAAACAGCGUGCAUGUUGGCUCACGUGUCAGCACCAUAGUGUGGGUCCUACUCGUGAAUUCCCAUACGUAAGUUUCAAACCAACUAACGUCCUAUCAUUCAGCACAAUUUUAAUAAUAACUAAAAUAACCUAUUACUAUGAAUAAUAAAUAAAUAUCAUACGCUUUCUGCGACAUAUAGUGUUCCUACUUCUACAUUUGAUUACUGCCUACCCUACGUGGCUAGAUGCCAUUGGCUAAAAUCAGAAAAGACCAUCGGAAAUUCAAGUAGUCGAUUAAUAUCACCCAAACAACUUACGACUUACCGACAGUGGCUGUGUUGUAGGUGGAAAUUCCAGGCUGGCCCACAUUCAACGAUCCCGUAAUUACCGUUUUACCCAUCCCAUCUCCCAAAAACACCACGUUCUUUUUUUCCAACGGCACCCGAACCGUCUCCUCAUAGACCCCUUCUCGAAUCCGAAUCACGAACUUCCGGUCACCGGCGUUAGCCGGCGCGGCGUCCACCGCUUCCUGCACCGUCUUGUAGCACCCGUUUCCGUCCUUGCACACGGUGGCGUCCGGCGGAAGACCAGUCGGAACUCCACCUUUGACCCCCAAUCCGGAUUCUUCGCCCAACCCGGAAGGCUCCCAGAAGCCGUCUCGCUCCGUUUUGGGGGGCCUCCAGGACCCGAUGUCGUUCCCGAAAAUAUCGUAAGAUGCCAUCAUGCUUAGACCGUUGCUGCUCAGCCCAAGAAGGGAGUCUAAAAACGACAUCGUUUUGUUCACCUGUUGAGUGUCGUUGGCGUACUUCAAAGCCGACCAGCAAUCGUACUGGUAUAGUAGAGCCGCGCUCACCCAGGCCCUCGCGUCCUUGAUCUUCCCAUGUGGCAGAGCCUCCAUCGUCGAUGAGAUCCGGUACUCGGAGUUAUGCAACACCUCCAGGCAGUUCUUCGCCGCCGUCGUCCGAUUCAGGUUCCGUGCGGAUGCGUCCAGGAUGUCCUUUACCAUGGACUGCGCCGUCUUGAGAUUCUCCAAGGAGACCCAUAAGGCUGAUUGGAUGACAUCGAUGGGCUUGGGAUCGGGAGGGACCCGAUCGGAAGCGAUCAGAGAGGCCUCGCAGGUUUCUGGGUAACGCGUAGCGGCGCAGGCCUGGUGGAUCUGGGGAGGAACAGAGGCGGUGGAGGGCUGGGGGGUGAUGGGUUGGGGGAAAUGCGGGAGGGAGUGGCGAGGGCUAUGGUGGUGAGAGGCGGAGGAGAGGGAGAAGAAGAGGAAGAGGGAGAGAAGAGCGAGAAGGAAGAGAGAAGCCAUGGAGAGGAUAAGGAAUUUAGAGAAGGAGUGGGGCUUUAUAGGCUUUCUGGAGUGCAUGAUGAUAGUGGAAAUGGGGUUUGGAUUGUAGCGAAUAUUAGAGAAGAAGAGACUAGGAGGAAUGGAAGUCACGGGUGGCUUCUCACGGGUGUGAAGAUAGAAAUCGGUGAUUCUGUUAUUGGCAGCAUUGACUAGGCGUGGAAUGUAAAGCAGAUAAAACCAAGCCACUUACCACUAGGUCUGUAUUUUGGGUUGUGCCUCAUACCUGCACCACCUACCUCCCUCCCUCCCUCCCUCCCUCCCUCCCUCCCUCUCCCUGACUCAGAACUCACAAAGGGAAAGACCCAACAAUUAGGGGACAGAGGCUGUUUUCCAGAGAACCAUAAACCCGCCCUUUUAAUUGACUUUGUCAAUGCUUUCCCAUCUUUUCUCCUUUCAUCGCUUUCCAACUUAAUGCGCGUAUUUUGGUCAUUUUCAGGUAAAUCAGAGGCUCGUUCGAUCAUACUGUAACCACCAUAUGGAAGGCUUGGAGUCUACGCUACUUGGAUUUUAAUCUGAGUGAGUGAAGGCAAAAUGAAUAUGAGAAGAGAGCAAUUAAAAUUAAGAUAAUGCAAGUUGCAGCUAAUGUAAUUUGUCUAGGAAUUGGAAUGAAAUUGGCCGGUAUAGUUUGGAACAAGAACUAAACCACUACGGAAUCUUGGAUAUCUGAAGUUGUAGAGACAAUCAAGUGAGUCGGUGGCAUACAGUGGAAAGCACACUAAGGUAAGUGAUAUUGUAUUUAAUUGUAAUAUAAAUAAAAUAGUGUGAUUUGCUAUAUGCGUUAUAAGUAUUUUUUUUUUUUAAAAAAAAGAACACCAGCCUACUAGACUUACAACUCACUAGAAUAGAUGAAGAGAUAUGUUUGGUUACUAGGAAAAUAUAAGCAAAAGAAAAUAAAAAUUAAAAAUAAAAUGCCGAGGAAAGUGAAUAUAUAUAUAUAUAUAAAGUUAAUAAAUUAUUUAUUUGUUUUAAAUUUUUUUAUUAUAAGAAUUAAAUAAUUUAAAAACGUAUAAAUUUUUAAUCAGUUUUAAUUAUAUUUGAUUUUUUUUUUUUGCUAUUGUUUUUAUAAGAUCAUAUGAGAAAAUAAUUUUUUAAAUAUUUUUUUAGUACUUUCUAAGAAUCAAUCACGGUGAAUGAGUUUAGAGAGAGAAAUGUUCAUUAUCAGUGGAGUUUCUUGAAUAAUAAAAGUUGCUCCUCAAAACCAAAGUAGGUAUCAAAAGUAAGACCAAGAUAAAUACAGAGUCUUGUUUGUUGGAUUGACUUUUGAAAAAUCAAAAACUCUUUUUCAAACUUGAUAAAACUUUUAUGCUUUUUUGACUAAUUUUGUUGAAAAAUAUAUGCUUUGAAAAAAACUUAAUAUAAAAACCUAGAAAAUAUUGCUUCUUAUAAAAAUUCUAUUUUGAAGUAUUUGAGAAUAUGACCUUUUUUUUCUUUGAAUGUUAAAAAAAAACAAUUGAAGAAAUUAAAGUCUCUUUUGCUUUGGAUUUGGAGUCAUAUUUAGGUGGUAUUUGUUUUUUGAUUGAAUAGAAAAAUCUAAAAUAUUUGAUUUUUUUUAUUCAACUAAAAAUAGUCUGUUGACAUCAUCUAACAUAACUAAAAUAAAUUGGUUAUCAAUAAGUUCAGUUUAAUUAUAUUGAUUGAUAUCAACAAGUUACUUUUAACUGAAUAAAGAAACUAAAAUAUUUUAACUUUUUCUAUUCAGUCAAAAAACAAACGUCAUCUUCCUGUUUUACUUUUUGAUGACUCCAAGGCCAUAUUUUGGAAUUCCUUCUCUAGCCUUUUUGCUAGCACAAUGUUAAAUUGAAGAAGGGAGGUCGAUUAAGCUGACUUUAAUUGUUACGGCAAGUUUAGUGACCCAAGCAAUGAUAGGAGAGUCUUCAUCUUCGAUUUCAACUGCUACUACAAUUCGUAGCAAAUCCAUUGAAUCAACUAAUUAUAGUAAAAUUGAAGGAAAAUAAUUUUUCUUAUGGAAGCAUCAAGUAGGUUGUAGGAUUAAGGGUUAUAAAAGGGAAGGUUUCAUUUUUUGAGACUCGAUUUGAUGAAUUCAACCUUUAAUAUUGCCCCAUCAAAGUCAGGAUCAACUUCUGAUGUCUUGGCUUUUUGCUUGCAUGAGUCUUGGUUUUCUCCUACAACUUGUCAGUUUUGAUACUGUUGAGGAUGUUUGGAGCAUUUUAUUUAUUCGAAUAAAUAAUGUAGCAAUCACUCUUUAGAAUUUGUGUUUUAUUAUGAUAAUUCAAUUUCUUACUGGUUUGAACUAUGACAUAAGAGGCUAGGUCACCCAGCACCAAAAUUUGUUACUAGAGUUUUCUCACAUUAUAAAAUACAAUUUCCCUUGUAAAAGAGAAAACAUGGACAAUGCUAGAACUUGGACUUACCUUGCUUACUUAGGCAUCAAUGCCACUCACACUAGAAGAUGGCUACAUCCCUUAGCUACGGCCGCAUGUAGUAGCUAGUGUGACUUGAUGAUCUAAAGUUGUGGCCACUAUCGCAUUCUUUUCACGACUAAAGGCUUUGUAUGUUUGCGACUAAUCAUAACAGCAACCAUAAGCGUGUAGAAAUAGAAAUGCUAACAGCAUAGUGUUAGACAUGUGCUACGGCCAGUGGAUGGCUGCCACUAUAGGUUGUGAUGUGGACACAGUCACGCUUGAUCAUGACUAUAAGGUCAUUUAUAUAUAUAUGAAUAAAUCAAAGCAAUUACAAAGCAUUCGUUCAUCUGUUUUUACAUUUAUAAUCAAAAUACCCUAUUUAGAGUUGUUACAAAUGAUCGAAUUAGUCAUAAAUGAAUCCCUAUUGAGCUCACAUUGUCAAAAUCAGUUGGUAUUUGUUGGCAAAGAAGCAAGUUUGAGAUUCAUGAAUCAUUCAAACAUCUACAUUGAACAAGAAGAUUCAUGAAAGUGUUGUCAUUAGAGAAAUUCAAAAUUGAUUUAAUAACUUCAUGCUAUUCAUAAAUCAUUAACAUAGUAUCGUGUCUGCGAGUCAAAGUCAUUAGCAAAGUCGCCAUUCCCCUUUGAUAGCGUGGCCGUAAGUUUGUUGAGUGAAAGCGAUUUUUUCAUGACUUUAAGUUUUGGUCACAAUUUAUUGGGAGAAAAGCAUAUACUGAUCAGCUGUAUGAAUGGCCAUUAAAGCAAAAACAUGUUGCUUCAACAGUGACUGUGCCACACAUUCAACCAAACCAUGUAUGGAGACCGUAAUGGCAGGCUACUAAGAAUCGCUACAUCAUAGAUUUCAAAGUAAUGAAGAAAAGUAGAACUUUAUAACAUAAAGUCCAAAUGAUAAAGCAUGCUACAAAUUUUUUCAACUUGAAAAGCGUCCUAAAGGACAUAGAUGUGGAAACGUGACUGCUACAUGAACCAGUGUAUACAUAUCAUACUGUUCAACUUCAGAUAUAAAAAAUAAUUGAGUCAUGGUCAUGGUGUGGGAAUGAAAUGGACUAUAUCCACUCUGUUUAAGCAAGACAAGUAUUAUUCAUUAAAAAAUGCAUGUUAACACUUGGAAGGGAAGUAAAACCCUAAAAGGAAGAAAAGAUAUACGUGGCAGAAACUUUGAAAUUUCUCUCCUCUAUUAAUAGUUUGAGUACAACAUGGACUAAAAGCUUCUAUCUCUGUGAAGGGAUCUAAACCUCCCUCUCAGAUGAAUCUAUUUCUACAAAUGUGGCCGGUGUUACUAAUCAAGAAGUUGUAGGAAUCCACUCAUUACCUUGAAUGAAAUUCUGUACCGAGUACAUGUUUAUGUGCUGAGCAGGAAUCUGGCUACUCCAUGUUACUCUUGCAGACAAAUUAGCUCCCAAUCCAGAAUUGUUGAAUUCCCCAUAAUAAAGUGUUUCUAAUGCAAAGUCACCACUCCAUGGCAGCCACCCUUGUGGUGUCACAAGAGCCUCCAACAAACACUGGAUAAAAACAGUCCUUGAAAACUCCUUCCAUGGCCUCCCCAAGAAGUUCUUGUGUACUUUAGGGUUGCUGUAGUACAACUUCAUGUAGUCGUCGGUGCCAUUGACCACACAAUUUUGGAAAACAAAGCCUGUGGUUUGGGCAGGGUCUGUUCGACUAUGUGCUGUUACAGCGUUGUUCUCCCCGUUUUCUGGGUUGAGUUGCCUGGGGCGGAUUAGGAUGAGGCAGUCUUGGAAGAUUGAAGCGGAGUUGCCAAAGAUGAAGUCCACGUUGCCUUGGAUGUUGCAUGAUUUGUAGAACUGGCGAAGGGAUUCAGCGUAGAGAGUGUCUUGAUUGCCUAAGAAUUCACAGUUCUCAAUCACUGAUAAAUCGCUACCUGAUCUGAAAGCUACAGCUUGGUGGGCGUCAGGACCGGCUGUGUUUUGGAAUGUGAGACCACUAGCCAUGAACCCAUCACCACUUACACCUGUGCCAUGAUCAACAGUUAAUCAAUAUGACCCACAACGCCUUAGGAGUUAGGAGCAAGGAAACAAAGAAAACAGCGUGCAUGUUGUCUCACGUGUCAGCACUAUAGUGUGGGUCCUACUCGUGAAUUCCCAUACGUAAGUUUCAAACCAACUAACGUCCUAUAAUUUCAGACCCUUCAGGAUUUUAAUAAUAAAAUAACCUAUUACUAUGUAAUAAUAAUUAAAUAUCACACGCUUUCUCUAUCAUAGUUGGGCUAAAAUAUAGUGUUCCUACUUCUACAUUUGAUUAAUGGAUACCAUACGUGUCCAGAUUUCAUUGGCUCAAAUCAGAAAAGACUCAACUUCGGAAAUUCAAGCAGUCACCGUCCAAUUAAUAUCACACAAACAACUUACGACUUACCGACAGUCGCUGUGUUGUAGGUGGAAAUUCCAGGCUGGCCCACAUUCAACGAUCCCGUAAUUACCGUUUUACCCAUCCCAUCUCCCAAAAACACCACGUUCUUUUUUUCCAACGGCACCCGAACCGUCUCCUCAUAGACCCCUUCUCGGAUCCGAAUCACGAACUUUCGAUCUCCGGCUUUAGCCGGCGCGGCGUCCACCGCUUCCUGCACCGUCUUGUAGCACCCGUUGCCGCCCUUGCACACCAUGGCGUCUGGUCGAAGACCAGUCGGAACUCCGCCUUUGAACCCUAAUCCGGAUCCUUCGCUCGACCCGGAAGGCUCCCAGAAGCCGUCCCGCUCUGUUUUGGGGGGCCUCCAGGACCCGAUGUCGUUCCCGAAAAUAUCGUAAGAUGCCAUCAUGCUUAGACCGUUGCUGCUUAGCCCAAGGAGGGAAUCUAAAAACGAUAUCGUUUUGUUCACCUGUUGAGUGUCGUUGACGAACGUCAACGCUGACCAGCAAGCGUACUGGUAUAGUAGAGCCGCGCUCAUCCAGGUCCUCGCGUCCUUGAUCUUCCCAUGUGGCAGAGCCUCCAUUGUCGAUAAGAUCCGGUACUCGGAGUUAUGCAACACCUCCAGGCAGUUCUUCGCCGCCGUCGUCCGAUUCUGGUUCCCUGCGGAUGCGUCCAGGAUGUCCUUCACCAUGGACUGCGCCGUCUUGAGAUUCUCCAAGGAGACCCAUAAGGCUGAUAGGAUGACAUCGAUGGGCUUGGGGUCGGGAGGGACCCGAUUGGAUGCGAUCAGAGAGGCGUCGCAGGUUUCUGGGUAACGCGUAGCGGCGCAGGCCUGGUGGAUCUGGGGAGGAACAGAGGCGGUGGAGGGCCUGGGGGUGAUGGGUUGGGGGAAAUGCGGGGGGGAGUGGCGAGGGCUAUGGUGGUGAGAGGCGGAGGAGAGGGAGAAGAAGAGGAGGAAGGAGAGAAGAGCGAGAAGGAGGAUAGAAGCCACGGAGAGGAUAAGGACUUUAGAGGAGUGGGGUUUUAUAGGGUUUCUGAAGUGCAUGAUGAUAGUGGAAAUGGGGUUUGGAUUGUAGAGAAUAUUAGAGAAGAAGAGAUUGGGAGGAAUGGAAGUCACGGGUGGCCUCUCACGGUUGUUAAGAUAGCAGUGGUUGAUUCUGUGGUUGGUAGCAUUAAUUGGGCGUGGAAUGUAAAGCAGGUAAAGCCAAGCCACUUACCACCAGGUC
Molecule: long non-coding RNA, 7644 nt
Filed under: Vitis vinifera (wine grape)
Lineage: Eukaryota; Viridiplantae; Streptophyta; Magnoliopsida; Vitales; Vitaceae
Description: long non-coding RNA (VVIN_LNC001232)
Source: RNAcentral